CACUGCUGCAAGCCACAGUAUUGCCUGUCUGAGGGGAAUGAAGCUCAGACUGAGCCAUGGGAGGCUGGACAACGACCACUCUACCCCAAUAGUCCUUAAGAAAGGGCGGUAGGCCCAGCCACUGCAGGGUACCUCACAGUAGUUCUGUGAUCCACUUCCACAUGAAGGAAGGGGCCCAGCGAUGAUUCGUAUCCUCUGAGCCCAGCACUGGCACAAGCUCUGCCGGCGGGGCACCGCAUGGCAGGAUGGCGGCUGAUGUCACGUAGACACGAGCAAAAAAAAAACGAAAGCAAACUAGAGGCAGCUUCUGCAUCUUUGAUCCAGGCAGCACAGAUUAUCAAGGAGGGAUCUCUUUGUUUUUGUAUCCCUGCUUAGAGAGCUGAACCGAGCUGACAUCCUGCACCCACUGAGUCUACUGUCGCAGCAGAGAGAAAGACUGCUGUCUACAGCUUCACGAAAACGAUGCCCCUGAGAGAGCCCAGAACUUGAGAACGAUCAUCUCUUCUUUUCUUUUUUUGAACUAAAGGAAAUUCAUGCAAGUGAAUAAAAAGACAUGAAGUCCAAAACUA
Long non-coding RNA from Pseudoliparis swirei, 569 nucleotides. RefSeq lists it as uncharacterized. The record is from RefSeq and is a predicted model, not a curated record. Lineage: Eukaryota; Metazoa; Chordata; Actinopteri; Perciformes; Liparidae. The transcript has 2 exons.